RNAcentral lists this ribosomal RNA (305 nucleotides) under uncultured bacterium. RNAcentral's name for it is "bacterial SSU rRNA". It matches the Rfam family "Bacterial small subunit ribosomal RNA", at positions 335 to 657 of the family's 1533-position model. The record is from RNAcentral.
UCCCCUACGGGAGGCAGCAGUGGGGGAUAUUGCACAAUGGGGGAAACCCUGAUGCAGCGACGCCGCGUGAGCGAUGAAGUAUUUCGGUAUGUAAAGCUCUAUCAGCAGGGAAGAAAAUGACGGUACCUGACUAAGAAGCCCCGGCUAACUACGUGCCAGCAGCCGCGGUAAUACGUAGGGGGCAAGCGUUAUCCGGAUUUACUGGGUGUAAAGGGAGCGUAGACGGCAGUGCAAGUCUGAAGUGAAAGGCAAGGGCUCAACUCCGGGACUGCUUUUGAAACUGUUGAACUAGAUUGCAGGAGAGG